RNAcentral lists this ribosomal RNA (433 nucleotides) under uncultured bacterium. RNAcentral describes it as "partial 16S ribosomal RNA". It matches the Rfam family "Bacterial small subunit ribosomal RNA", at positions 29 to 507 of the family's 1533-position model. The record is from RNAcentral.
AACGAACGCUGGCGGCAUGCCUAACACAUGCAAGUCGAACGAGACCUUCGGGUCUAGUGGCGCACGGGUGCGUAACGCGUGGGAACCUGCCCUUAGGUUCGGAAUAACUCCCCGAAAGGGGUGCUAAUACCGGAUAAUUUCUUCGGACCAAAGAUUUAUCGCCUUUGGAUGGGCCCGCGUUGGAUUAGCUAGUUGUUAGGGUAAAAGCCUACCAAGGCGACGAUCCAUAGCUGGUCUGAGAGGAUGAUCAGCCACACUGGGACUGAGACACGGCCCAGACUCCUACGGGAGGCAGCAGUGGGGAAUAUUGGACAAUGGGCGAGAGCCUGAUCCAGCACUGCCGCGUGAGUGAUGAAGGCCUUAGGGUUGUAAAGCUCUUUUACCCGGGAUGAUAAUGACAGUACCGGGAGAAUAAGCUCCGGCUAACUCCGUG